GACGAACGCUGGCGGCGUGCUUAACACAUGCAAGUCGAACGGACUAUUUCAUUUCGGUGGAAUAGUUAGUGGCGAACGGGUGAGUAACGCGUAGACAACCUACCUCUUAGAUGGGGACAACAUCGCGAAAGCGGUGCUAAUACCGAAUGAAGUGACUUUCCUGCAUGGGAGAGAUACUAAAGGUGGCCUCUAUUUAUAAGCUACCAUUGAGAGAUGGGUCUGCGUCUGAUUAGCUAGUUGGCGGGGUAACGGCCCACCAAGGCGACGAUCAGUAGCCGGCCUGAGAGGGUGAACGGCCACACUGGGAAUGAGACACGGCCCAGACUCCUACGGGAGGCAGCAGUGGGGAAUAUUGCGCAAUGGGGGAAACCCUGACGCAGCGACGCCGCGUGAGCGAUGAAGGCCUUAGGGUUGUAAAGCUCUGUUUUAAGGGACGAAUGUUACGGGGAGUAAUAUGCCCUGUAAAUGACGGUACCUUAAGAGGAAGCCCCGGCUAACUACGUGCCAGCCGCCGCAGUAA
This 520-nucleotide ribosomal RNA is filed under the name uncultured bacterium. RNAcentral describes it as "partial 16S ribosomal RNA". It matches the Rfam family "Bacterial small subunit ribosomal RNA", at positions 28 to 523 of the family's 1533-position model. The record is from RNAcentral.